GGAAAAGAGAUGAAAAGAGGAGGCACAACUUCUGUAUCCUAAUAUCACAGGUGACAGGAGGAACGCCAAAGCCAGUGGCUUCCCCUGGCCAACAGUGGCAGCUGUCCUGCUCCUCCUCUGCAGCACUCUGGUAGCUUUAGGCAUCAGGAAAUCGUGUCAGUACCAGAAAGAGAUGUGAGUACCAGUGAAUGGAGCCA
RNAcentral lists this long non-coding RNA (197 nucleotides) under Junco hyemalis (dark-eyed junco). RNAcentral describes it as "lncRNA (ENSJHYG00000017541.1)". Lineage: Eukaryota; Metazoa; Chordata; Aves; Passeriformes; Passerellidae. The record is from RNAcentral.